Molecule: long non-coding RNA, 1109 nt
Organism: Oncorhynchus tshawytscha (Chinook salmon)
Lineage: Eukaryota; Metazoa; Chordata; Actinopteri; Salmoniformes; Salmonidae
Source: Ensembl
CAGACCCACCUGCAGAGAGGCUGGUCCCCUGUAGCUCAGUUGUAACUCAGUUGGUAGAGCAUGGCACUUGCAACGCAAGGAUAGUGGGUUUGAAUUUCGCACCCACAAAUAAGCAGUUUAUUGCCUACAACGGGUCUAAUCCUGAUUGGUUAAAACCGCAUUCCAGCUGGUGUCUAUUCCAUCAGUUACCACCAGCUAAAUCUGUUCUAUCCGACUGCGCAAUCCACUAAUCUCCACAUUUCCUUUAGACUAACAUUUUGUUUUCAACAGCAGAUAUAUUGUAUAAACUUUGCAGUCUGUCUCUGACAUGUGCAACAUUGUUUCAAUAUUCAAAUUCGAGCUCCAGCUGUCCCAUAGUAAUGAACGGAGUCAGGAUGAGACAGACGGCGUUUCUCAGAGUUGAAAUCAUGAAUCAGCUGGCACUUUUAAUGGAUAUGUACAGUACAAAUACAUGUAGAUUGAAAAAAAAAAAAAAGUCAAAUGAAACUAAGUGCAGUUAGUAGUCUUUCUGGGCCCAGUUUGAAGUGUGUUAGCUGUGUUAUUGUCUAGCUCCUCCAAACACUGGCUUCUUGGGGAGUAUCACUUAAUUGUAGGUUUGGUCUAUGAAUGUGCUGUUUGUUGGCAACAGUAGCCCUAAAGUCAAAAGUGUAUUCAAUGUAGCCUACAGUUGAUACAUGUUAUAUUAUGGACUUGUCUGUAUGAAGUAAUGUGUAAGGCUAUUGAAAGGUGUUUGUGUAAACUGUAGAUUUAUUGGAAAGUUAUGCUGUUGGAGAUUGUAAUAUAUUUUCAAUACCUGCAAGAACACAAGUGCCAUUAUUCUAGAUGACAUCUCUCGAAUCAGCGAAACACCAGGUGAGUUAGUCUCUUCCGUGCCAUGAUCGAGCUCAGGGCUGAGAAACGGGGAGUGAGGAAGAUUUGAGGAUGAUGAUCACCCUCCCUAUUGACCCAGCUGUGUCUAGAUUAUCAUAGGUAUGACCUGGCGGAGAACAUGAAGGAUGGGUCAAAGACAAUGCUGACAACUAUAUGGAUCAGUACUCCUUCAGAUGCAUCCUGGGCCCCUUUUAACUUGCUGCUGGUCUCUAUGGAGAUGGCGUCGGGCCUGAUGACCG